AUUGAACGCUGGCGGCAUGCCUUACACAUGCAAGUCGAACGGCAGCACGGGUGCUUGCACCUGGUGGCGAGUGGCGAACGGGUGAGUAAUACAUCGGAACGUACCUUAUCGUGGGGGAUAACGCAGCGAAAGCUGUGCUAAUACCGCAUACGCCCUGAGGGCGAAAGCGGGGGAUCGCAAGACCACGCGCGAUUAGAGCGGCCGAUGCCUGAUUAGCUUGUUGGUGGGGUAAAAGCCCACCAAGGCGACGAUCAGUAGCUGGUCUGAGAGGACGAUCAGCCACACUGGGACUGAGACACGGCCCAGACUCCUACGGGGGGCAGCAGUGGGGAAUUUUGGACAAUGGGGGCAACCCUGAUCCAGCAAUGCCGCGUGAGUGAAGAAGGCCUUCGGGUUGUAAAGCUCUUUUGUCAGGGAAGAAACACCGGCUCUAACACAGUCUGGGAAUGACGGUACCUGAAGAAUAAGCACCGGCUAACUACGUGCCAGCCGCCGCGGUAA
This 501-nucleotide ribosomal RNA is filed under the name uncultured bacterium. Its description in RNAcentral is "partial 16S ribosomal RNA". It matches the Rfam family "Bacterial small subunit ribosomal RNA", at positions 29 to 523 of the family's 1533-position model. The record is from RNAcentral.